GGUCGAACUAGAAUCACAGCUACACAGUUUGAUCAGUGCUCGGUUAAUUAAAAUAUAUACAACUUGCUGUUUGCAGGCGUCAACAUGGUAACGAGAAGCUACGUACUAAUACUGGUAUUUGUUACCGUUCUGGUAUCAACCAAUGCUCGAAGAUAUCCUUGGGAAGAUGACUGCAAAGACACCUCUCCCCAUUGCCGAUAUUGGUUUCUGAAUAAUCCAAAAUUUGACUGUGGUAUUUAUGGCCCAAGCAUUUGCAAAAAGUUCUGUGGAUACUGCAGUAGUAUAGUGUGUCGGGACCGGCCUGGUAAGGAAUACUAUUGCAGAAUAUACAAGCGCAAAGGAAAAUGCCGAACAGAUUAUGCCAACAGAAAUUGCCGGAGGACUUGCAAAAAAUGCUGACUUCAACAUAACGAGUACUCGAGUGACGACUAGGGAACAACCAAGCAAAAGGGAAAAUGCACUUCGAGAAACAUCAAAUCCUUUCCCAAGCGGCCUCCCCUCCCCUUCCCUCCCCUCCCCUCCCCCAUGAUUUUAUUUCAUCAUUGUGUAUAGGACUUAUCCAUAUCUAAGUGUACUAUCUUCUUUGGGCAAAAACAUCGUCUUCGAAUUCUUUACUAUAGGACUAUGGGACCUGAUGUAGGAUAUUAUUUAACAUGUGCGUGCAUAUCGUAUAUAUCAGCUAAAUAAAUAUCAGCUAAUAUAAUACAACUA
This 711-nucleotide long non-coding RNA is filed under the name Actinia tenebrosa (Australian red waratah sea anemone). RNAcentral describes it as "uncharacterized LOC116301064, transcript variant X5". Lineage: Eukaryota; Metazoa; Cnidaria; Anthozoa; Actiniaria; Actiniidae. The record is from RNAcentral.